CGUCAGUGUGAGGCGACGGGUUCCUUCACAGCAUCCCCCUUUCCUUUUCUCUCUCUCUCUCUCUCCCCCCUCUCCCUCUCUCUCUCUCUCUCUCUCUCUCUCUGUCUCUCUCCUACAGCCGUCCAGCAUCCACGCUCUGCUCAGUUAGUUAGGAAUACACGCUCAGCCACUGGAGCGCAAGAAAAGGUAUGUUAGGUUACACAUCAUGUAGAGCAAGCAGGGGCUUCCACCACUUCAGCAUAGGUGGCUUUUUUUCCUUUUUUAUAUCAGCAUGAAACAUUUAAAAGCUAAGACAUCAGCAAAACAUGUUUUAUAAAAGUUUGAUAGAGGGGAUAAGCUUUUAAUAAGGGCUGAUAGGGGGUAAGGAUAGGGAGCAGGAGAGACAAGACUGAAAUCUCUUUCUCUUUUUGUAAGCUUUGCGGAAUAAAGACAAAAGGAGGAUGGAAACGUACACAUGAAACAGCUUUGUUACCCUCCCACCCCCAUCUGCCCAUCAACUGACUCCAUUCUUCAACUUGACAUCAUCCUUUCACACAGACAAGGAGAAGAAGAAGAAAAAGAAGAGGAGGAGAAGAGAGAAGCAGAGGUGGGGAGGCAAACAAAACAGACAGAGGAAGAGGAGGAAGAGCCGAGAGGAGGUGGGCAGCACAGUUUCAGCUCUCACAAGGAUGAGGAGGAGAAAGUGAAGGCAGCUAGAACUUGGCCACUAGUGAGAUGAAAUUUGGGGAGGAGACGCUGGAGCGCCGCAGGGUACGACAUCCAACGAGAACCCUAAAAUUGCACCGCCUAGAAGACGAGACAGCAAUCUCUGGAUCCUGUGUCCCUCCACAGCUGAAGGAUGAGAGGGGUCGACUUUCACCUUAGUUGCCAGGGAUGUCUGUGCACUACGGAAAGGCACCCCCCUCCAGCAUGUCCAAUGCUAUGUUAUUCCUGAUGCUUUGCAAGAUUGGUGUGAGACGAAAACUGCAGACUUUUCCAGGGAAAAUGGUAAACACUCUCCACAGUGAUGAGGAAAAGGGAAUCCAAGACAAGGAAAGUACGGAGGAGAGCAUCUUGGCCAUGUUGGGCAUCAUUGGGACCAUUCUCAACUUGGUAGUCAUUAUCUUUGUCUACAUCUACACCACCUUGUAGGUCUUGAACUCUCUUACUGUACUUCAUUAGUGGGCAGAUCAGAGCUGAUCUGUGCCAUUGCAGCUGCAGUAUGUUGACUGAUUUGGAAAUGAAGAUAGGAGGUGCAAGAAAGAGGCCCAGCUUCACCAUUCGUGAGCUGGAUCGAAGACUACGUGAUCGCCAUAUGGCAUCCAUCCUGCUUCACUUCAAACAACUAAGACUAUGUGAGACUGGCUUGUUUCUCUCCCCUUUAGAGGUAGAAUUAUCCAGAAUACCUGGACACUUUUGACUUGUACAUAAAUGCAUGGAGCUAACAAGAGAUGCUCAAAAAGAUGCAGCUUUUACCGACUGAGGGACAUGAAAGACUGCAGAGAGCGUGGACAGUUUUGGAAAAUAUUUUUCAGAUGUUCUUAUUAACUGAAAUAUGGAAAUUAUUUGCUGACAUAGGAUAAAAGAUGAGGAUGUACAGAGAAGGUAAACACAGGUAUCUGCAUUGCUGUCUUAUUUUUUUCCUCAAAGAACACAACGUACACCCAUUUAUAUGAGAUUUAAACAGACAUAUUACAAAUUUGAUGUUUGUUUUUAUACUGUAUUUCUCACUGUUUUCUGGAAAAAUUGACUUUGGGUGGUGUUUUAUUUCACUGGAAACUAUAUGAACUGUAUUCACACAAGUUGUAUAACAUACAUCUACUGAAACAAAUGGUGUAUUUAAAUGGCAUUAAGUCAGUUUAAAGUGUUGAAAUGCUACCCGUAAAUGGUGGAAGAUCAGACAAAAAUGGGUUUGAUUAUCAUUUAUUAUUCAAGUUUUUAAUGCAUCACUUCAAGGGUCAACAAGACGCAUCCAUUUGUGAGAAAACGUUUUCAGCUCUGGAGGCCGACGAGCAUCUUUUGAGGAGAACUGAGGAAAAAAGGUGUUUUACUUACUGGCUUCAGACAGAUGCAGCUAUUUAGGUUGAUAAUGAAUAUACCAACAUUCAUUUGCAAACAGAUAUGAUAGACACUGCAACCUGUUCACUCGUAAGUGUACAUAGAAUUUACUGAGUUUAGGGUAGUCUGUAUUUUUCAGCCAUUGAUCUCAGUUUCUACAUUAUUGAUUCAAAGCUUAAGACUUGUGCGUAAUGACUGUAUGCCUUAAAACAUGAGGAAAUGGCUAUUUCCAUGAUGUAUAAAAUUAUCAGGUUAUUACUACUUUGUGAAAGUUUCACUUGUUGUAUAUACAUAUAAUUCAAUGCCAAUGUCAUAUUGUUUCAUUGAUGAAAGGUCAUUUAUUGGGAAUUUUAUAAAAGUACCCAGCUUUUGUCUUAAAGAUGCAAAAACUUUGAGUUCUUAAAUUGUGACUCUGUGAAACGUGGAGUUAUUUCCAGACUUGGGCCAUUUUUCUUCAUUUUUAUCCUUUUCUGUAGUGUAAGAUGGGUGUGGGUUUUGCCACACUGGAUUAUAUUGUAAAUGUUGUGAAAUUUACACAGUCACAAGAAUUUUUAGAGUAACUUUUGGUAUUUUUCUCUUUGAUUGACUGAACUGACACUGUGUCAUUUGUCCUCGAUGUCUUACAACCUCAUCUCUCUAAAGAGAAGCUAAAUUUUGCUUGACCCAUGACUGGAAAUAAGGCCACAUCUUUGUACUUGAGGGUAAAACAUAAGUAGAAAGUAUGUUUAAAAACAUCAUUUCUGUAUUUAUAGGUUGAUCAGAAUCUGGGCCAGUGUGUUUCAACUUGUACAAAUUGAAUCAAGUUGAGUCAUGUGACAAAUUUGUGUACAGAGGUCUGCACAAUUUCCCUGUAACAAUAUUCUCAGAUACCUCUGGAUUACACACUGAUUUAAUUAAACUGUAUUAAAGGAAUAAUUUAACAUUUUUUGAAAUAUGCAGGGAGUCUCAAAUUAAUGACAAAUAUCUAGGAAGUCAUACGCUAAGAUGAAGAAAAAAAAAAGUACGGCAACCCUUUGUAAAAAUGGUGGAUUUAAAUUUUUUUUCCCCGUACAAAUCAAAUUACUUCUAACUAAUUAGCAAGUAUGUUCAAUAGGUUUAGGUGAAUUUUGUACCCCUGCUAAGCUUAUCAUCUCCUGGCUUUAGCUUCAUAUUUAACAGACAAGAAGAGUAAUAUCGAUCUUCUCAUAUAAGCAAAUAAGCCUUAUUUCCUAAAAUGUCAAACUAUUCCUCUCUUUUUUUUAAAAAAAGAAGCUAGAAGCUAAACUAUAUGAAGCUAUAUGAAAUGAGAACAUUUAAAUAAUGAUGUACAGUAUGUAGAAUGUAAGGGUAUAGACAACAGACUACAUUAUGUGUAAAGUAUUACGUUUGUGUUCGUCAGCCAACAACCUCAUGAUUUCAGAAAGUGCCUGAGAUCAAAGCGUCUCAACCUCACCAGUCGAGAGGUGAAAGAAAGGAAAACACAAACCAGUGAGAGCAUCUUUAUAAGGCCAACCUGUCACACAGCCAGGAGAGUGGAAGAAGUGUCCUGAUCCACUCCGCUAGAUUCAUAAUGGGUCUGGAUUUCUACUACACGGCUUAUAAAGUCAGCCAAUAUUUUAUUGUUUUGUUUUUUUUUUGUCUUGGGUGAGGUGCUCUUGCUUGUUUAACAGAAUAAGGAAAAUGAGAGCCUAGUAAGCACACGGACAAGUGUUACGAAUGUAUUCAUAUUUGAUGUAAAAGUUGAUUCCUCAUGUUAUCCUUAUUGUUUACUUAUCUUUCCUAAAGCUAUGUGAACUGAACGUGUUCUUAUGUUUUAUUUAUGUGUAUGCUAAAUCUAUUUAAACUCAUUGAAAAGUCUCUUGUGGGUGACAAAUGGAAGGGAUAAAAGUUUUUCAGCUUGCAGUUUGGUUAAAAAAAAACAUUCAAUAAAUACAUCUCGGAACUGA
Molecule: long non-coding RNA, 3962 nt
Organism: Larimichthys crocea (large yellow croaker)
Lineage: Eukaryota; Metazoa; Chordata; Actinopteri; Sciaenidae
Exons: 2
Source: RefSeq, a predicted model, not a curated record